Molecule: small RNA, 132 nt
Filed under: Salmonella enterica
Lineage: Bacteria; Pseudomonadati; Pseudomonadota; Gammaproteobacteria; Enterobacterales; Enterobacteriaceae
Also listed under: 4 other names
Description: RtT sRNA
Rfam family: RtT RNA
About the family: This family represents a bacterial cis-regulatory element known as RtT RNA.
Source: RNAcentral
GUUUGCACUUGUAGGGGAAGGGUGAGAACCUUCGAUUAAGGUUCGACUCGAGCGAAAGCGAGAGAACGUUGCCAACGGCAACGGCCCGUAGGGUGAGGAGCGAAGCGACGAAUAAUCCUUCCCCUACCACCA